Long non-coding RNA from Mytilus trossulus (common blue mussel), 1287 nucleotides. RefSeq lists it as uncharacterized. The transcript has 2 exons. The record is from RefSeq and is a predicted model, not a curated record. NCBI's taxonomy places the organism in Eukaryota, Metazoa, Mollusca, Bivalvia, Mytilida, Mytilidae.
AGUCAUAGGUUUGAACGUAGUUUUCAAUUUAGACUUGUUUAUAUUUUUUGUUUGGGCAUGUAUCAUAUUUUCCCUCCGGUUUAUAUGAUCCGUUCAUCCUAUAUAUUGACUCUUAAAAUUCAAGAGUUAAUCUAAAAAUGAGGGUACUUUCUCUAAAAAUGAGGGUGCUUUUUAUAUGGCCUUCCAAAUACCGUUUCGAUCCCUAACAUCACUGAAGAGACAUUUAUUGUCGAAAUCCGGAUAUGGUGUACUAAAGAAAUAUUGACACCGAAUGUUUGUGGCACAACAUCCUGUCCACAAGUUAACAAUUUUUUUUUUUUCUGUGACGUAUUAAAUUUAUAAUAAGAUCCAUUUUGUUACAACCUGUGAUCAAUUUUAUUUGGCAAUCGCCAAUGGCAGUCAGCAGGGUUAAAGAACAUCAGUUGUUCGACCUGUUAGUCAAAUGCGUUUUGUUUAAAUAUACUUUUUCACUCUUUUGGUCUUUUGGAAAAUGUUGUUUGUGCUGUUUUUAGACCCUUCUACAACGAAAUUUGUUUGACAUGCACACGUAUAAAAAUUGCGGUUUUUAUCCAACGCAGUCAUAGGUUUGAACGUAGUUUUCAAUUUAGACUCAUAUAUAUAUAUAUGUAUAUGCAGGAACUACUGUAAAAGGUUAUUAUCUAUACUAGAGAUAAAGGCAAUACAUUCCAUUAUAAUAGCAAAGUAAACAAGUAUAAAAUAGUUAGUGAACUGGUUAUUUAAAAAUAAUUUAGAUUUUUUUUAACUUGCUUUGUGGUAAAACAGUGUUCAUGUAUUGUUCAUUUGAUAUUUUCUUUCAUAAGGUUAAGUAUUCCACAAUCAAUCAUUAGAAUAUAAUUUUAAAGUGAAUUAUUCAGUCGUUCGUUCGUAGGAACAGCCAUACAAAUCAAGUCUGCAUGUGAUGCCAUUAAAAAUCAGUAGAAAAUCAGAUUAAGAUAUACAAUUUAUUGGUUUUAUUUUAAACUUAAGAAUAUUGAUGAUAAUUGCCAUAGGUGGAAAUUUCUUGUCUUUUGCAAGUCAACAUAUAUAAGCUUCCAUUAAAGUUGUAUUUUAACUUUUUUUCAUGUCUCUUGUUGCUAGUCAUAGUUUAUUGUUUUAAAUUUAAUGUUAUCGAAAUUAAAUACAUGAUAAAUGACCUUUGUCAUUAAGCCAUAAUAGAGAAGUUGUUAUGAGUCUACCUUUAAUUUUUGCAACUGUCUUGCCAUUGGUAAAUCAGAAUGCUUUUGAUUAUUAUUGCAAUAUUUAGACAUUAAAAUGUAUACAACAAUA